CCCUUAGAUGUUCUGGGCUGCACGCGCGCUACACUGUCGGAUUCAGCGAGUCAUAUCCUUAACCGAAAGGUUUGGGUAAUCUUUUGAAAGUCCGACGUGAUGGGGAUUGAUCAUUGCAAUUAUUGAUCAUGAACGAGGAAUUCCUAGUAAGCGCGAGUCAUCAGCUCGCGUUGAUUACGUCCCUGCCCUUUGUACACACCGCCCGUCGCUACUACCGAUUGAAUGGUUUAGUGAGAUCUUCGGAUUGGCGCCUACGCGGCUUCUCUGAGGCCACGCUGGAUGCCGAAAAGUUGCUCAAACUGUAUCAUUUAGAGGGAGUAAAAGUCGUAACA
Molecule: ribosomal RNA, 332 nt
Filed under: uncultured eukaryote
Lineage: Eukaryota
Description: partial 18S ribosomal RNA
Rfam family: Eukaryotic small subunit ribosomal RNA
Source: RNAcentral